UGACAUUUCGCAGAAUCUCUUCUUAUCAAAAAUGUUGAAUUUACCCUAUCGGCUGUUAUUAUUUACUUUUUAUGAAUAAAACAUGAUAGUUUUUGUUGCACACGAACAUUUAGAGACCAUGUGUGACGCGUGUGUGGACGUCCAUUGAUAAGAAAUCGAACAAAAUCGUGAACAGUAAAGUGUAUCAUAUUUAGCCAAAUUUCUCCUUAGUUUUUGUGUAAUAACUGUGUUUAUUUAGUCAAAACUGUAGGAAAUCUCCGUUAGAAUCUUCAGUGUGUAGUUCCUUUCAAGACAAACGUAUAAAUUAGGGUAAAUCGUGUUAUCACAAUCAAGUCCAGUGCAAAAUAGUUUAGACGUAUUUUAUGUCCUUUUGGUAAGAAAUCUGUGCGAAAAUAAAGUUUCUGACUAGUAAAACUGUACAAAGUUCUUCACAAAGUAUCUCUAUAGGCGGUAAUGUAAAUAUUUAUGUCUGAAACCCAUAAAAUAUAACUGAGUAAUUUGUGGUACUAUAAAAAACCCACAGGCUUGGUGGCCUAAAAUCCGUGCCAAAGAAAAAUAAUAACUCUAGUGGCAGUACAGAACGGAAGCAUGUACUGUUUGAGCGUUUGAAAAAUGUGCAUUAUGGAGGGAAAGUGUAUUGUCGAAAUUAGAUUUUAAAGUGUUUUUAGAGUGAUUUUUGGAUUAAAAUGGUUACGAUGAACUCUUCGGAGAAGGCGGCACAGAAGGCCUGUCAACAGGGGCCAUCCAGAGAAAACUCGAAAUGCGUGAAGGAAGAGAAAGACAAAGAGAAACAGAAGAAGGAGGCUCCGCCCCCGACCGUGCAGGCGCUUAUGUCCACCAUCCCCUCACCGGAGGAGGCACCCAACUAUCUCAUUUAUCAGAAGAUGGAGGCGAUAAUAGAGAAGAUGCAGGAUGAAAACACGGGGGUACCCGUGCGUACUGUCAAAAGCUUCAUGACCAAGAUACCCUCGGUAUUCACAGGCUCGGACCUAGUGGCCUGGCUCCAACGCCACCUCAACUUGGAAGAGACAUGGGAAGCCCUCCACAUCGCUCACCUGUUGGCCGCACACGGAUACUUGUUCCCAAUCGACGACCACUGCCUCACUGUGCGGAAUGACAACACUUAUUAUAGGUUCCAAACACCGUACUUCUGGCCGUCGAACCAAUGGGAGCCGGAGAAUACCGACUAUGCGGUCUACCUGUGCAAGCGCACAAUGCAGAACAAAGCUCGUCUUGAACUCGCCGACUACGAAGCCGAGUCGCUGGCGCGGCUUCAGAAGAUGUUCUCACGCAAGUGGGAGUUCAUAUUUAUGCAGGCCGAGGCGCAGAGCAAGGUUGACAAGAAACGAGAUAAGCUGGAGAGGAAGGUGCUGGAUAGUCAAGAACGCGCCUUCUGGGACGUGCACAGACCUAUGCCGGGGUGCGUGAACACAACAGAGCUGGACCCCCGCAAGUUGUCUCGCAUCAACGCGCUCAAGGACAAGCGGCUGAGGCAGUGCCAGGAGCUCAUACUGCAGCACAAUUUGAAGAAUAAUCCAAUAGUUACGAUCACAAACCCGCAGGAGAGUGAAGAGGAAAUACAGAAACAGAACUCCGAUAACGCCAUCAAGGAAAAUGGCGCGCCCCCCCCUGCGGAGCCCCCGGCGCGGGCGCAGCAGCUGGAGGCGGCGCGGCGCCAGCUGGCCAUGCUGCGGGCGCGGCUGGAGCGGCGGAACGUGCGGGUCAGCAAGGUGCACGAGAUGUUCAUAGCUUACUGCGAGCAGUACGCGGAAUACGACGCGUUCCUGACCCCGCCGGAGUGGCCCAAUCCGUGGAUCAGCGAUACCACUGAGCUGUGGGACCAGGAGAAGCAAAGUAAAGACCCGCUGCCGCUGCGGCGCGUGCGCCGCUGGUCGUUCGGGCUGCGCGAGCUGCUGCAGGACGCGGCCGGCCGGCAGCACUUCGCCAAGUUCCUCAACAAGGAGUUCAGCGGGGAGAACCUCUCGUUCUACCUGGCGGUUCAGGAGUUCAAAGCUCUGCCAGUGCAACGGGUCGCCGCUCGAGCCAAGGAGAUAUGGAAGGAGUUCCUCGCUUCGGACGCCGUGUCUCCCGUCAACAUUGACGCCGCCAGCAGGGAGCUGACUCGUGCGAAGGUGGAUUCCGGCACCGCGGACCGAUACUGCUUCGAUCAAGCGCAGGCGCAUGUGUACCAUCUGAUGAAGUCGGAUAGCUACUCGCGGUACCUGAGGUCUGAGAUGUACAAGGACUACCUCAACGGAUCCAAGAAAAAGACAUCAGUGAAAGGCAUCCGGUCCAUAGUCUCAUUCACGGCCCGCAAGGAGAUGUCUACUAACUAACAAUCAUUGUCAUGUCGGUUAGAUUCUAUGUGUAGUGGGAAGAUUGCCCAACAGUGGGCCAAACACUGGGCACGACGGCUGCUACAGCUUUGGGAAUGAAGAAAAGAAAAAAAAAUAACCGGUAAAAAUACCGGUAAAAUACCGAUUGUUGUAAGGUCAAAACCGGUUUGGUACUUUCAGUGUUAAUUUUAGGUAAGUCGUUAAAAUUUUGAGAAAUGUUAUGUUGCUAAUGUUGAAACGAGGCAAAAAGAAAUCGGUAAAAACGGUUUGCGGAUAUAAAUAACGGUAUUAAAAAAAUAUAUCAGUUAUUGUCGCCUGCGUGGUUUCAAAGUUUAUAAAUAUUAGUACUCGUGUCCGUACAUACAUAAACAGCCUAUAUACGUCCCACUGCUGGGCACAGGCCUCCCCUCAAUCAACCGGAGGAGAUAUGGAGCAUACUCCACCACGCUGCUCCACUGCGGAGGUGUUUUUACUUUUUUCCCGGACAACCAGGUGAUACAAGCCUGCAAAGUCCUUGCCAAACUAAGUGAUUUCGAAUGACGGGAACCGAACCCGGACCCCCAUAUACUGAGCGUAGGCUGUAACCACUAGACCACGGAGGCUGUUAGAAGUAUACAAUAAGUAAAUGUUAGGUUAACACAAAGGCAAUCUGCGGGGUUAAAAUGGCCACAUCGAAGCAAUUCAUCUAAGAAAGCAUACUGCAAUUUGACAUUUGCGCAUGUAAAAGUAAUUGCGCAAUGCAAACAAAUGUUUAAUAGCAAUAUUGCUUUUUUAGAGGAACUGGGCACCCUCAGGCAUGUUGUCUUAAACGUUGUACCGGGUGAGAGCCUUCAGCGCUCCCCAUUUGUCCGGCCAAGUAGUUAAUGCCAUCUGCGUCAAAUGUACAAUAAGUCACGUCAAAAAAAAGCCUAUGCGAAAGUUGCUUAACUUCAACAAUCGCAGACCGAGCGCGUUUACCGCUGCGCCACCAAGCUCCUCAAAGUAAUAUUAGCAACACUAAUUCUCAUUCUAAACCAAAGUUAUUUCUUUAGAUCCAAAAAAAAAGACUGUUCGAUGAGAUAAACUGCCCAAAAAUAUACAGGGUGUUAGUGACAUCGUAACGAAUACUGAGGGGGAUGAUUGAGACCAUGAUUCUGAGUUGACAUCAAGUGGAAUUUUCCGUCCUAUAGUACGGAAAAUAAUUUAAAAAAACUAAAAUAAAAAUCAUGAAUUUUGCGACGGAAAAUUCCACUUGAUAUCAGCUCAGAAUCAUGAUCUGAAUCAUCCCCCUCAGUAUUCGUUACGACGUCACUAACACCCUGUAUUAUAAAUUUAUUUGUGUUAGUGACACCGUACCGAAUACUCAGGGGGAUGAUUCUGCUCAUGAUUCUGAGUUGAUAUCAAGUGGAAUUUUCCGUCGCAAUUCCAUACAGGAACUGUAGAUAAUUUAAAUAAACACUAAUAUUUUAUAGAAUAGAAUAACUUUAUCCCCAAAACAGUGAAGGUUACAAAAGCAUUUACAUAAAUUAAGAUUAACAAUUUAUUGAGGACGUCCACCACUGCCACAUGACUGUUACGACCAAUUUCCAUCCUCAUCAACCCUGACACCAGGGAUGAUGAGGUUGGUAAUCCACCUCACAACCCACACGAUAGAGGAAAAGAAGAUUCAUGGUUUCGUAAACAGUUGGUAGGUUUUAUGUUGUAAGUAUCACAUGAUCUGCUAAAUAAAAGCAUGCGAAAAUUUAUUAGUAUGAUGAAUGGAGUGUGUAUGUAUUUUCAUAAGUUUGCCACACAAAAAAAAUCAAAUUCAAAAAUAUCUUUAUUCGAAAGAAAGAAAGAAAGAAACGUUUAUUAUAAAGGGACACCACAGUAACAAAUACAAAACAAAUAACAAAUAUAUAAUUUAAAACACGGAGUAACACACAACUUACAAUCAAACAAAACACAUAAUAAAAACAAAAUACACGAGAAAUACAAAUAAUUGAGUGUAUGGACUGGUCAACGAUGGUGGUGGUGUCCUUUAUAAAAGGGCCUCACUCAGCAUAAGCCGCGGCGCGAGCCACGACGCUGGUAUUCUGUGGACCCUGCUAAGUGAGCCACGGAAGCCGUGUCUCCCACAAAUACAACUUGAAUGAAUAUAUAAUAAUAUUUACUUAUACUAUGAAAACAAAGUAGUUUACAAAAACAUAUAUUAAAAGCGUGUGUGUGUGCAGUGUAUCUACAAAUACAUGAAAGAAAUACCAUAAUACUUACAAAACAAUGCAUAUAAAACGAUAAAAUAAACAAAUAAAUAAAUUCAGUAGGUAACAUAGUUACACUUUGAAUCGUCAAUUUUUACAUAACGAACGUCUCAUCCGCCUAAAACUACUGCAGCUUCUCACAACCUGUAUAGCCGGGGAAAUGCAGCUGCAAGAAAAACCUCGGCACAGGGCCCUAGACGUUCUUUAAAAAAAAUAAAAAUAAACAUAAAAUAUUGGUAUACAAUUGACAACAUUUCAUUUUUACUAAGGUGCCUUAAAUCGAAAACCAUUUCGAGAUAUUUCUAUGAUUUACACAAAACACAUUUUUUCAGAUUUUUUAAUUCAGUAAUAAUAGAAAUAUAUUGAAAAAUCCACGAGGUCAGAAGAGGAAGGCAUAAUAAGUUCAGACCUUUACAUAAAAAUUAUAAAAAAAGUAAAUGUCAUACAUAACAUGACACUUUGUUUGCGACUUGUUUUAAAUACGCAUGCAAAGGUACAUUACAUUAUACUGCCUUCAUUCUAUCAAUGGCAGAAUCAAAUUUUCAAAAAAUAUUUUUUGUAACUUCUAGUGGAAAAAUCUUGAAAAGAAAAAAUACGUGUCUUCUAUUUAAACAAUUACUUUCGAAAUAGCACAAAAAAACCACGGCUUAAAAAUUUGAAAUGUUGUCAAUUGAGUAAUUUAGCUGCUUAAUAUCAGUUCUCAGACAGUUAAUCCCAUGCAUUCAUAUCUUCUAAAUAAUCACUAACUUUAUAAUAACCUUUUUGUAAAGUUUUUGUUUAACUACUGUCUUAAAACAGUUGAAAUCCACAUACCACUUGAUCAAAAAUUCGACUCAGAAUCACGAGCUGUAUCGUCCCCCUCAGUAUUCGUUACGGUGUCACUAACACCUGUUAUAUGUUAUUAUUACAUUUUCCUUUAAAUUUUGAGUUUUAUUAAUUCUUGUAAUAAUGUAAAUAGUAAAAAAAUAAUAAAAAAAACUUAGUUGUUUUAGACAUAGACAAUACUUUGACGUUAUUGUGUAAAAUAAUAAUAAUCAUAAUAAAUUAUUAUUUAAUAUAUAUAUAUAUUUGAUAUUGUAUGUACAGUCAUAAGCAAUAUAAUGUACCCACUUUAGGACUCUGUCGCACUAACACAUUUGACAUUUAGUGAGACUUACAGUUCAAUUUGUCAAAAAAGUUAAUGUGACAUGGUACCAAAGUAUAUACAUGGUAAUGCUCGUGAUCGCAUCUACCUAGGUACGUAAUGUAGUUUUUGGCUUAUAUCCUUUUUUUAUGUUUUGAUCCUGACCUAUUUGACAUAGAUAAACUCACGCCUAUUUCCUACCGGGGUAAGCAGACUAUGGAGUUAAUUUGUUCAAUACGAUCUACUCUGAACCGGCGUGCGUGUAUGAAGCGAUUGAUGAAUGUGGAGGAAGCAAGAGAAGUGUGUCAGGAUCGAAGCAAA
Molecule: unclassified non-coding RNA, 5999 nt
Filed under: Pectinophora gossypiella (pink bollworm)
Lineage: Eukaryota; Metazoa; Arthropoda; Insecta; Lepidoptera; Gelechiidae
Description: regulator of G-protein signaling 7
Source: RNAcentral